RNAcentral lists this ribosomal RNA (694 nucleotides) under uncultured bacterium. RNAcentral describes it as "bacterial SSU rRNA". It matches the Rfam family "Bacterial small subunit ribosomal RNA", at positions 32 to 715 of the family's 1533-position model. The record is from RNAcentral.
AACGCUAGCUACAGGCUUAACACAUGCAAGUCGAGGGGCAGCAUGGUCUUAGCUUGCUAAGGCCGAUGGCGACCGGCGCACGGGUGAGUAACACGUAUCCAACCUGCCGUCUACUCUUGGACAGCCUUCUGAAAGGAAGAUUAAUACAAGAUGUUAUCAUGAGUAAGCAUUUUCGCAUGAUUAAAGGUUUACCGGUGUAAAAUGGGGAUGCGUUCCAUUAGAUAGUAGGCGGGGUAACGGCCCACCUAGUCUUCGAUGGAUAGGGGUUCUGAGAGGAAGGUCCCCCACAUUGGAACUGAGACACGGUCCAAACUCCUACGGGAGGCAGCAGUGAGGAAUAUUGGUCAAUGGACGAGAGUCUGAACCAGCCAAGUAGCGUGAAGGAUGACUGCCCUAUGGGUUGUAAACUUCUUUUAUAAAGGAAUAAAGUCGGGUAUGGAUACCCGUUUGCAUGUACUUUAUGAAUAAGGAUCGGCUAACUCCGUGCCAGCAGCCGCGGUAAUACGGAGGAUCCGAGCGUUAUCCGGAUUUAUUGGGUUUAAAGGGAGCGUAGAUGGAUGUUUAAGUCAGUUGUGAAAGUUUGCGGCUCAACCGUAAAAUUGCAGUUGAUACUGGAUAUCUUGAGUGCAGUUGAGGCAGGCGGAAUUCGUGGUGUAGCGGUGAAAUGCUUAGAUAUCACGAAGAACUCCGAUUG